UAGAUGGAAAACAAAAUUUGUGUUUAGUUUCGACCUAAAAUAUUGGUGCUGGCCCACCUCCAUCU
Molecule: transfer RNA, 65 nt
Filed under: Scolytinae sp. BMNH 1274277
Lineage: Eukaryota; Metazoa; Arthropoda; Insecta; Coleoptera; Curculionidae
Description: tRNA-Arg
Source: RNAcentral